GAUGAAGAACGUAGCGAAAUGCGAUAAGUAAUGUGAAUUGCAGAAUUCAGUGAAUCAUCGAAUCUUUGAACGCACCUUGCGCCCUUUGGCUAUUCCGAAGGGCAUGCCUGUUUGAGUAUCAUGAACACCUCAACUCUCAUGGUUUGCCAUGAUGAGCUUGGACUUUGGGGGUCUAGCCGGCCUAUGGGUCGGCUCCUCUCAAAUUAAUCAGCUUGCCAGUGUUUGGUGGCAUCACAGGUGUGAUAACUAUCUACGCUUGUGGUUUUCCAUCAGGUAACCUUCAGUGAUGGAGGUUCGCUGGGGCUCAUAAAUGUCUCUCCUCAGUGAGGACAGCUUUUUUGAACGUUUGAUCUCAAAUCAGGUAGGACUACCCGCUGAACUUAAGCAUAUCAAUAAGCGGAGGA
Molecule: unclassified non-coding RNA, 404 nt
Filed under: soil metagenome
Description: partial contains 5.8S ribosomal RNA, internal transcribed spacer 2, and large subunit ribosomal RNA
Rfam family: 5.8S ribosomal RNA (bases 1-121)
Source: RNAcentral